RNAcentral lists this ribosomal RNA (253 nucleotides) under uncultured bacterium. RNAcentral describes it as "partial 16S ribosomal RNA". It matches the Rfam family "Bacterial small subunit ribosomal RNA", at positions 524 to 776 of the family's 1533-position model. The record is from RNAcentral.
UACGUAGGUGGCAAGCGUUAUCCGGAUUUAUUGGGUGUAAAGGGCGUGUAGGCGGGAGCGCAAGUCAGAUGUGAAAACUCAGGGCUCAACCCUGAGCCUGCAUUUGAAACUGUGUUUCUUGAGUGCUGGAGAGGCAAUCGGAAUUCCGUGUGUAGCGGUGAAAUGCGUAGAUAUACGGAGGAACGCCAGUGGCGAAGGCGGAUUGCUGGACAGUAACUGACGCUGAGGCGCGAAAGCGUGGGGAGCAAACAGG